Molecule: ribosomal RNA, 433 nt
Filed under: uncultured bacterium
Lineage: Bacteria
Description: partial 16S ribosomal RNA
Rfam family: Bacterial small subunit ribosomal RNA
Source: RNAcentral
AACGAACGCUGGCGGCAUGCCUAACACAUGCAAGUCGAACGAGACCUUCGGGUCUAGUGGCGCACGGGUGCGUAACGCGUGGGAAUCUGCCCUUGGGUUCGGAAUAACAGUUGGAAACGACUGCUAAUACCGGAUGAUGACGUAAGUCCAAAGAUUUAUCGCCCAAGGAUGAGCCCGCGUAGGAUUAGCUAGUUGGUGAGGUAAAGGCUCACCAAGGCGACGAUCCUUAGCUGGUCUGAGAGGAUGAUCAGCCACACUGGGACUGAGACACGGCCCAGACUCCUACGGGAGGCGGGAGGGGGGAAUAUUGAACAGUGGGGGAAAGCCUGAUCCACCUAGGCCGGGGGAGUGAUGAAGGCCUUAGGGUAGAAAAGCUUUUUUACCCGGGAUGAUAAUGACAGUACCGGGAGAAUAAGCUCCGGCUAACUCCGUG